Homalodisca vitripennis (glassy-winged sharpshooter) is the source of this 218-nucleotide long non-coding RNA. RefSeq lists it as uncharacterized. Lineage: Eukaryota; Metazoa; Arthropoda; Insecta; Hemiptera; Cicadellidae. The transcript has 2 exons. The record is from RefSeq and is a predicted model, not a curated record.
GGUGUUCCUGGACCCCUCACGAGACUCUUUGUUCAUCGCUAAACCGCGGCAUCGCCAACCUCAUACAGGACCUCAUUCUUCGUCUCGCCCAAACCAGUGAGCGAAUAGUGAACUUCAAGGCCAGGCUCAUCACUUCCAUCAUCUAAGUUCAGCGACCACGCUCAGUUACCACGUCCUAUCACUUGGGGUGCUCUGCAAAGGAACCAGGACAUCGACAA